Molecule: ribosomal RNA, 405 nt
Filed under: uncultured bacterium
Lineage: Bacteria
Description: partial 16S ribosomal RNA
Rfam family: Bacterial small subunit ribosomal RNA
Source: RNAcentral
AUUGAACGCUGGCGGCAGGCUUAACACAUGCAAGUCGAACGAGUGGCGGACGGGUGAGUAAUGCUUGGGAAUCUAGCUUAUGGAGGGGGAUAACUACGGGAAACUGUAGCUAAUACCGCGUACCAUAGGAUUGGCCCCAGUGGGAUUAGGUAGUUGGUGAGGUAAAGGUUCACCAAGCCGACGAUCUCUAUCGGGUCUGAGAGGAUGCCCAGCAAGACUGGGACUGAGACACGGCACAGAGUCCUACGGGAGGCAGCAGUGGGGAAGAUUGCGCAAUGGGGGCAACCUGACGCAGCCAUGCCGCGUGAAUGAAGAAGGCCUUCGGGUUGUAAAGUUCUUUCGGUAGCGAGGCGUUAACUACAGAAGAAGCACCGGCUAACUCCGUGCCAGCAGCCGCGGUAAUAC